CGACCCUGUCGGUGUGACCGAGUGGAAUAACUCGGUGGCACCGAGAUGCAUAACUGUUGACAGUUACAGCAACUCGGUGUGACCGAAAAGUUCAAAUCGGUUGCACCGAGGUGAAAACCUAGAUCGACUUAGUGAUCUUGGUAUGACCGAAAUGGAGGAAUCGGUCAGACCGAAAAGCACAAAGAAGUUUUGGAAGUUUAAGUCUAUGACAAAUCAGGGACUCCGAGUGCUCCUCACACAGAGUGGUUUGAAUCUGACUUGAUCAAAUUUUGUGAUGUAGCAUGAAUAGAGUUUGAGAUGAGAAAAGCAUAGAUAGCUAGAGAGGGUUCUUAGGCAUUGUUGUCCAUCCACUUGGCAAAAGAAAAGAAAACCAAUCAAUCAAAACAACAAGUGGAUGUCCUCGAAUGAGUAAAAUAUGCAAUCAACAUGCUCACACAAUAAAAUGGGAAUUGAAAUAUGUGGCAAAGCAUGCACAACCAAUUCUAGCAUCUAUCAAGCAAUUGGCGAUGACUAGGUCAUCUAUAUAUGAGUAUAUUGACUUAGGAGUCAAAUGAGAACAUUUGAUCAUAGGUCAUACUCAUCGUUUAAGCACAAGUGGGGUUACCACUUUUACAUAAAGCAUUGUUGUGUUCACACCAUUAGAGUUGCUUUAGCUCAAGUCUUAGAGUAAAGCUCCCCCUAGAUGUGAUAUCCCCCCUAAGAGGGAUGAAGUAACCUUGGGUUUUGUCGAUGAUGACUUCAUGUAGAUGUUGAAGAUGUCGAUGCUCGAUGUUGAUGUAGAUCAAUUGGAGCUAUCCAUUGGAGUGAAUUGCACUUUCAAUACCUACAUGGGUUAGUCCCACAAGGAACAAGCAAGAAUAUCCAUAGACAUAGAGUGAUGCACAUACAAGAUGAUGUCUAUGAAAGCUUUUAGGUUACCUUGUCCCUUGACUUACCAACAAGAGGGUUUGUGACUCCUUGAACUAGUGCAAGAUGUGGAAGUUGAUUGCACUUAUUCUUGCCAAAAUGAUAAGAGUGAAGUAUGUUGGCGGAGUCACCCUCAAGAACUCUCUAGUUCUUCUUCUUUUGGAUCCACGCCAUCUUGAUGGGAAUCCUUGGAAUUGUAGUUGUACUUGAUGAAGUGGAACUUGAAGUAUUCUUGGGAAUCCACUUGACUAAGGUCUUAGGAGCUUCUUCAAAUGCAUCAAUUUCCUCUUGAAGCUUGUCCUUGCCUUUUUGCUUGUAGUCUUGUGGUGGAAGAUCAUCUUGAGCUUGUGUCCCUUUGAAAGAAGUGGGAUCAUACUUCUCUUGUUGAGGAACAAACUUUGUCUUGGGGUAUUGAUCUUCUUCCCACUCAACUCCAUUGGCAUUGAACUUUCGUUCAAAACCAACACCUUGAUUCUUCCGGUGCCUUCCUUGCUUGCGUACAAUUUCCUCGAAUUGCUUACUUCCGGCAAGGCUCUUGUAAACUCCUUUCUCUAUAAUUCCCUUCAAUAGGCUAUUUUCUUGCUCAAGUGUAACUUGGCUAAGAGAAUCAUUAGUGGAAUCAAGAGAACUACUAGAAGCAACAAUAUUGGAUUUAACAUGAUCAUUGUUACUACUAGAGGAAGAAUCUUUCUUGUUCUUGUUACUAGACUUGACUUGAGGCAUAUAAGUGGAUAAGAGUAAACGCUUGGCAAUGUAAGAAGAACUUUUCUUACGAAGAUCAUCAUUGAUUGCUUUUAAGAACUCAUGCUCUUGCUCAAGGUUGAGCUUUUCAAAGCGUAAUUUCUCAUGUGUCCUUAAAAGUUAUCGAUGAUCUCCUAAGAUAGUUUCAUGAGCUAACUUAAGAGUGUUUAGUUCUUUAGUUAGAGACUCAAUCUUCUCCUUAUCACUGUCAUUCGUUUUAUCUUUAUUAGCAUGAUUAAUUGACGUUUCAUCAUAGUAUUCAUCACUAGAGUUGUCAACAAGUAAAUCAUCAUCACCUAACAAGUCAUCUUCAUCACUAUUGAAAUCAACAUACUCGGGAUGUGAUACCUUUGGGCCUUUAGCCAUGAAGCAUGUUCCAACUCCUUCAUUUGGUGAGUCAAAUAUGUCGUAGGAGUUGGUUGACACAAGUGCUAGACGGGCAACACCUUCAUCUUGAGUAUAUUCGAAAUUGGAGUGAUAGCUUCUCUCGGAGUGGUUGUCGGAGUCGGAGCCGGAUACCCAUUCACCAACAUGAGCUUGAUGUCUUUGUUUUGUGUAGCUCCUUGAUGACUUUUCUUUUCUUUCCGAAUCCUUGCUUCUCCGUGAGUGUCUUCGUUCAUAACGAUCAUCUCUACUCCUUCUUUCUCUAGAUGGUGAUUCUUCUCUUCUACUUAUUCUUUUGGGAGAGUCUUCUCUUCUCUUGUAGGGAGCCGUACACUCAUUGGAAUAGUGUCCGGGUCUUCCACAAUUGUAGCAGUUUCGCUCUCGACUAGAAGAUCUUUUGUCAUUGUAGGACCUUGACUUGGAGCUUCUAUCUUUGCUUCUACUCUUGUAGAACUUGUUGAAGUUCUUCACCAUUAAGCUCAAUUCUUCAUUGAAGGUUUGCUUCUCACUUGAUUAUGUGGGGGCUUCACAUGAGGCUUUGUAAGCACCACUUGAUUUUUUGUGAAGUUCCUCUUUAUCCUUGAGUGACAUCUCAUCAGCAACAAUUCUUCCAAUGACUUCCGUUGGCUUGAGAUCUUUAUAAUUUGGCAUCAUUUGGAUCAAUGUGCACACGGUAUCAUAUUUUCCAUCCAAGGCUCUUAGGAUCUUCUUGAUGAUGAAUCUAUCGGUCAUCUCUUCACUCCCUAGGCCGGCAAUCUCAUUUGUGAUAAGAGCAAGCCUAGAGUACAUUUCAGCGACACCUUCACCAUCCUUCAUUUUGAACUUGUCAAGUUGACUUUGGAGCACAUCCAAUUUGGAUUCCUUGAUGGAUUCGGUACCUUCGUGCAUAUCAAUCAAAGUAUCCCAAAUUUCCUUUGCAUUCUCGAGACGGCUGAUUUUGUUGAAUUCUCCGGGGCACAAUCCGUUGAAGAGAAUAUCACAAGCUUGAGAGUUGUAUUGCAGCAUCUUAAACUCUUCCGCGGUAGCUUCACGGUUUGGUUCUUUCCCAUCAAAGAAGUCAGCUUGCAAGCCAACACACACAAUAGCCCAAACGGCAGGGUUAUGUCCAAGAAUAUGCAUUUUCAUCUUAUGCUUCCAACUAGAAAAAUUAGUACCAUCAAAGUAAGGACCUCUACGGUGGUAAUUUCCCUCGCUAGACGCCAUACUCUCCUAGGUUGUGAAACCAAGGCUAUGACCACCAAAAGCUAUGGAAAUCAAAGCAAAUGGAGACCAAAGCUCUGAUACCACUUGUAGGAUCGGAAGUAUGUCUAGAGGGGGCGUGAUUAGACUACUUGACCAAAUAAAAAUCUAGCCUUUUCCCAAUUUUAGUUCUUGGGAGAUUUUAGCUAUCUUAGCACAAGUCAAGCAAUCUCCACACAAUUCAAGCAAGCAUGCAAAAAGAGUAUAUGAGCAGUGGAAAGUAAAGCAUGCAACUUGCAAGAAUGUAAAGGGAAGGGUUUGGAGGAUUCAAACGCAAUUGGAGACACGGAUGUUUUUGGCGUGGUUCCGAUAGGUGGUGCUAUCGUACAUCCACGUUGAUGGAGACUUCAACCCACGGAGGGUAACAGUUGCGCGAGUCCACGGAGGGCUCCACCCACGAAGGGUCCACGAAGAAGCAACCUUGUCUAUUCCAUCACGGCCGUCGCCCACGAAGGACUUGCCUCACUAGCGGUAGAUCUUCACGAAGUAGGCGAUCUCCUUGCCCUGACAAACUCUUUGGUUCAACUCCACAAUCUUGUCGGAGGCUCCCAAGUGACACCUAGCCAAUCUAGGAGACACCACUCUCCAAGAAGUAACAAAUGGUGUGUUGAUAAUGAACUCCUUGCUCUUGUGCUUUAAAUGAUAGUCUCCCCAACACUCAACUCUCUCUCACAGGAUUUGGAUUUGAUGGAAAUAUGAUUUGAGUGGAAAGCAACUUGGGGAAGGCUAGAGAUCAAGAUUCAUAUGGUAGGAAUGGAAUAUCUUGAGCUCAACACAAGUGUAGGUGGUUCUCUCUCAGAACAUGUGUAUUGGAAGUGUAGAUGUGUUCUGAUGGCUCUCUCUUCGAAUGAACAGUGGGUGGAGGGGUAUAUAUAGCCUCCACACAAAAUCUAACCGUUACACACAAUCUGCCAAACUCGAUGGGACCGAAUCGUUUAACUCGGUCGGACCGAUUCAGCAAACCUAGUGACCGUUAGGAUUUUCGGUGGGACUGAGAUGCAACUCGGUAGGACCGAUAUGGUUAGGGUUUGGGCAUAACGUAAUCUCGGUGUGACCGAUUACACAAACCCGGUGGGACCGAUUUUGGUAAUAUGCUAACCAAUGGUUGGUCAGGUAAACUCGAUGGGACCGAUCCACUCUUUUCGAUGAGACCGAUAUGUUACGAAAAGGAGACAGUGAGUUUACAUUGCAAUCUUGGUGGGACCGAUCACUCACUUUGGUUAGACUGAAACAUUACGAAGGGAAACAGGGAAAUUUCAAUCCCAUCUCAGUGAGACCGAGAUCCUUAUCGGUGAAACCGAAUUGCUAGGGUUUGUGGCAAUGGCUAUGACAUGUGAAACUCGGUGGCGCCGAAUAGAAAGAAUCGGUGGGGCUGAGUUUGACUUUUGGUUUAGGUCAAAUGUGGAUGUGGGAAGAUAGUUGAGGGUUUUGGAGCAUAUCACUAAGCACAUGAACCAAGAGGCUCAUUAAGAAACACCUCAUCCCUUCUCAAUAGUAUUGGCUUUUCCUAUAGACUCAAUGUGAUCUUGGAUCACUAAAAUAUAAAAUGUAGAGUCUUGAUCUUGAAGUUUGAGCCAAUCCUUUGUCCUUAUAAUUUUGAGGGAUCCACUUUCCUCAUCCAUGCCAUGCCAUCCAUUGAGCUUUUCCUGAAAUAUUCAUCUUGGAAUAAUGUUAGCUCAAUGAGCUAUAUGUUGUUAGGAAUUACCAAAACCACCCAGGGAUAGUUGCACUUUCAAUCUCCCCCCUUUUGGUAAUUGAUGACAACAUAUAGAUCAAAGCUUCGACAAAUGAUAAUAAGAAUGAAAAAUAUCGUCACUUUGAGAAGUAUGUGAUAAGCAAGAGCUCCCCCUAAAUUUGAGCAUAUUUUAAGAUUUGCUUUGGACUACAAAUGCACAAUGAGUUAGGAUCAUGGGUUACUCUUCCAUGUCACAUACAUCUUGGUGGAGCGCUCAAAAUGAUAAGAAUUAAAUACAUGCACUCAUCACCAAGCAAAGUGAAUGAUCAAAAUAAGGAUAAACUGAUAGUAACAUCCAACAAGCAUUAAGUGUAGCUUAUGAUCAAACACAUGAUCAUCAAUGUCUCACAGAUUAAGGCAUAGUAUCUCAAGCACUCAAAAGCAAAUAAAGUUUCAACCAAGAAGACAAGAGAGAACAAAUGCAAACACUCUCUCUCGAAGCCUAUGAUCUAUACAUUUUUCUCCCCCUUUGGCAACAAGUUACCAAAAAGUUCAUAGAAAAUGCAUAGCACUAAACGACUCUCAGGCUUGGUCUUCAGUUGGUGGAGUCCGGAUGACGCCAAGGACGAAAGCUUCAGUAGAAGUGGUUGGAGCUGCUGGGGUAGGAGCUGGAGCUGGUGGAACUGAGGCUGUAGCUAGUGCAGAAGUGGUGGCUCUGGUGUCAGGAACUGGCACUGCAGACGAUCUCUAAGCUCUGGGCACUCUGCCAAAUGCAUCAGUUGUGGUCUUGCCCUUCCUCUCCUGCAUAUCAUCCUGCAGUUGCUCCAUGGCAGACUGAAUCUCAGUUACUUUCACAUCUAGGUCAUAGAACUUUUGUUCCAUGAUUCUUUCCAAGCUCUCUUGGUUUCGAGUCAGGGUGGCCAAUCCUUUCUCAAUCCUCAGAGUGGAUGCUAUCAGGUAACUGAGCUGCUCCUGCUUGUCCUUCAAGAAGUACUCAGAUGCCUCCUCUUGAGUUGGCAUCUUGGCAGCUUUCUCCAUCUUUGCCUUCUCCUUCUUUGCUUGAGCAUGUGCUGAUGAUGGUUCAUUCUCAUUCAUGACAACUUGAUUGUCCUCAAAGUCUGGAUGGAUGGGCAGGUGUUCCUUAUCCAACAGGUAUGUGCCUGUGCCCAUCUUUGAGUUAAUCAACUCCUGAAUUUGUGGGGCAUAUCCACAGCUCCUCUUCUGAUCAGAUGUUGUCCUCUUAAUGGUCUCUACCAUGAGGCUCAUCACCUUGAAUUUUUGAGGCACAUCAAAUAUGUGAAGCAAUUUUAUUGCAUGGCCUCGGAUCAUCUUUUGAUCACCCGACUUGGGCAAGAGAGUGUGCCUUAGAAUCCAGUUGAUAGUGGGCAGCCCUGACAGAAGGAAGUGCACUGAGCCAAACUUGAAGGUAUCCAGUGCUUUGUUUGGGAUCUCCUUGUACAUAUUUGACAUGGAAUUGUGAUCCAUCUUCUUCUUGGCAUAGAUGUCCAAGUCAUCUUCCUGCUCUUGUGGGGCAUUGAUCAGCUGUGCCCAUUCAGCAACUGUAGACUGAUAUCUAGUCCCUUUUAACAUCCACACUAUCCUGCCAUCUGGAUAGAAAUGUGCUAUGGAGUAGAAUUGCAUAAUGAGCUCCUCAUUCCACUUUGUGAGCUUUUACCCAACAAAGUCUGCAACUCCACAUGCACUGAAGCUGUCAUACACUCCAGGAUAGUGUUCUUUGUUCUCCUUGAUGUAUUCCCAGUCAACCUAUCUCAUGUCACACACUAUGGGCUUCUUAUCUAGCAGCACUGUCUCAUAGAAAUCCUGCUGUUCCUUGGUGUGAAACCUAUAAUCCACAGCAGUUCUUCUCCUUGAAGCAUAUGGAUUUGCUUCUCUCCACUUCCUCAGCCCUGACUCUCUUCUAAUUUUCAUGUCCUCAGCCACAGGAUGAGCAUCAUUGUGGUCUGGGAUCUUGGGCUUGAGCUUCCUGAGAACUUGUCCUUCUUCUUCUUCAGCAAUAUCAGGCACUGGGGCCUUGUUCUUUUCAGCAGCAGAUAUGUUUGUGGUGUUCCUCUUAGGUGCACUAAGGGAGUCCUGGAUUAGGGGGUGUUUGGGUAACCGGACUAUACCUUCAGCAGGACUCCAGGACUAUGAAGAUACAAGAUUGAAGACUUCGUCUCGUGUCCGGAUGGGACUUUCCUUGGCGUGGAAGGCAAGCUUGGCAAUGCAGAUAUUCAAGAUCUCCUACCAUUGUAACCGACUCUGUGUAACCCUAACCCUAUCCGGUGUCUAUAUAAACCGGAGGGUUCUAGUCUGUAGGACAACUCCAUCAUACAACAAUCAUACCAUAGGCUAGCUUCUAGGGUUUAGCCUCCUUGAUCUCGUGGUAGAUCUACUCUUGUACUACCCAUAUCAUCAAUAUUAAUGAAGCAGGAGUAGGGUUUUACCUCCAUCGAGAGGGCCCGAACCUGGGUAAAAACACCGUGUCCCUUUUCUCCUGUUACCAUCCGCCUAGAUGCAUAGUUCGGGACCCCCUACCUGAGAUCCGCCGGUUUUGACACCGACAUUGGUGCUUUCAUUGAGAGUUCCUCUGUGUCGUCACUUUUAGGCCCGAUGGCUCCUCUGAUCAUCGACAAUGAUGCGGUCCAGGGUGAGACUUUUCUUCCCGGACAGAUCUUCGUCUUCGGCGGCUUCGCACUGCGGGCCAAUUUGCUUGGCCACUUGGAGCAGAUCGAAAGCUACGCCCCUGGCCAUCAGGUCAGGUUUGGAAGCCUAAACUACACGGAGGACAUCCGCGGAGAUUUGAUCUUCGACGGAUUCGAGCCACAGCCAAGCGCGCCGCACUGUCUCGAGGGGCAUGAUCUAGCUCUGCCGCCGAACAGUGCCCUGGAGGUCGCAAACGCGCCGGUUCUGACCCUUAAUUCGGAGCCUGCUGCACCAAUUGAGGAUGAGCGGUUGGACGUCACCUCGGGGGCUGCGAUCUCAAAGGCGAUCGAGCUGAACGCCAGCCCCGUACUCUGCAUGACCCGUGACUCCGAGGAUCCGGACUCCUAUCCGGACUCCGAACCCCCCGUGCCCAGGCCGAUCGAAUCCGAUUGGGCGUCGAUAUUAGAGUUCACCGCCGCGGACAUCUUUCAGCACUCGCCCUUCGGCGACAUCCUGAACUCACUCAAGUCUCUCUCUUUAUCAGGAGAGACAUGGCCGGACUACGGUCAACAAGGAUGGGAUGUGGACGAUGAAGAAAUUCAAAGCCCACCCACCACCCACUUUGUAGCCACUGUCGACGAUUUAACCGACAUGCUUGACUUCGACUCCGAAGACAUCGACAGUAUGGACGACUAUGCAGGAGAUGAACAGGAACCAGCACCUAUAGGGCGCUGGAAGGCCACCUCGUCAUAUGAUAUAUACAUGGUGGAUACUCCAAAAGAUGGAGAUGGCGAUGGAACAGCGGAGGAUGACACCUCCAAGAAACAGCCAAAGCGCCGGCGUCAGCGGCGCCGCUCGAAAUCCCGCCAAAGCAAAAACGGUGAUUCCGGCACGGGAGAUAAUACUACCCCGAAUAGCGCCGAAGAACACCCCCUAUAGCAAGAUUCAGCACAGGAAGAUGGAGAAGCCAGCCCUCAUGAGAGAGCGGCAGACCGAGAGGUUGAGGAUGAUAACUAUAUGCCUCCCUCCGAAGACGAGGCAAGCCUCGACGACGACGAAUUCGUCGUACCAUCAGACCCCGCCGAACAAGAGCUUUUCAAACGCAGGCUUUUAGCCACGAUAAGCAGCCUCAAGAAAAAGCAGCAACAGCUUAGAGCCGAUCAAGAUUUGUUAGCAGACAGAUGGACUGAAGUCCUUGCGGCCGAAGAGUACGAACUCGAACGCCCCUCCAAGAGUUACCCAAAGCGCAGGCCGUUGCCCCGAUCAGAGGAGAAGCACCUACAUCACCAGUGCACGACAUGGCUGUUUGGCCACCCCGCGGCCGCGACAGAGAGGCCUCUCGGCCCUCCACCAAAUGCAUGCCCCGGCGUCGUUCAACCAAGGCACGGGAAAAUGCGCCAGACCUGCGAGACGUACUGGAGGACAAGGCAAGACAAACAAGAUCGAUCUAUAGAUCGCGCAGGCGCCCCACGGCACAUGACGGUGAUCUUCAUUCCGGAUACAACAAAUCCGGCCGGGCCGGACACAACAGACAUAGGUCCUUCGAGCUGCGUCAUGAUAUAGCCCAGUAUAGAGGCGCCGCACACCCACUAUGCUUCACAGAUGAAGUAAUGGAUCAUAAAAUCCCAGAGGGUUUCAAACCCAUAAACAUCGAAUCAUAUGAUGGAACAACAGAUCCUGCGGUAUGGAUUGAGGAUUAUCUCCUUCACACCCACAUGGCCCGCGGCGAUGAUCUACAUGCCAUCAAAUACCUCCCGCUCAAACUUAAAGGACCGGCCCGACAUUAGCUUAACAACUUGCCAGCAAACUCAAUCGGUUCUUGGGAGGACCUGGAAGCCGCAUUCCUCGACAACUUCCAGGGCACUUAUGUGCGACCACCGGAUGCCGAUGACUUAAGCCACACAAUUCAGCAGCCAGAGGAAUCGGCCAGGCAAUUCUGGACACGGUUCCUAACAAAGAAAAACCAGAUAGUCGACUGUCCGGACGCAGAGGCCCUAGCAGCCUUCAAACAUAAUAUCCGCGAUGAGUGGCUUGCCCGGCACCUGGGACAGGAAAAGCCGAAGUCCAUGGCAGCCCUCACGACACUCAUGACCCGCUUUUGCGCGGGAGAAGACAGCUAGCUAGCUCGCAGUAACAACUUAGCAAAGAACCCUGGUAAUUCGGAUACCAAGGACAAAAGUGGCAGGACACGUCGGAAUAAGCAAAAGCGCCACGUUAGCAGCGACAGCAACGAAGACACGGCAGUUAAUGCCGGAUUCAGAGGCUAUAAAUCCGGUCAGCGGAAAAAGCCAUUCAAAAAGAAUACUCAGGGCCCGUCCAGUUUGGACCGAAUACUCGACCGCUUGUGCCAGAUACAUGGCACCCCCGAAAGGCCAGCCAAUCACACCAACAGGGAUUGUUGGGUGUUCAAGCAGGCAGGCAAGCUAUGAGCCGAAAAUAAAGACAAGGGGCUGCAUAGCGAUGACGAGGAGGAGCCCAGGCCGCCGACCAACAAUGGACAGAAGGGUUUUCCCCCACAAGUGCGGACGGUGAACAUGAUAUACGCAACCCACAUUCCCAAGAGGGAGCGGAAACGUGCGCUACGGGACGUAUACGCGAUGGAGCCAGUCGCCCCAAAGUUCAACCCAUGGUCCUCCUGCCCGAUCACCUUUGAUCGAAGGGACCACCCCACUACCAUCCGUCACGGCGGCUUCGCCGCAUUGGUCCUCGACCCAAUUAUCGACAUAUUUCAUAUCACAAGAGUCCUCAUGGACGGCGGAAGUAUCCUGAACCUGCUUUACCAGGAUACAGUGCGGAAAAUGGGCAUAGAUCCCUCGAGGAUUAAGCCCACAAAAACGACCUUUAAAGGCAUUAUACCAGGUGUAGAGGCCAACUAUACAGGCUCAGUAACACUUGAAGUGGUCUUCCGAUCUCCGGACAAUUUCCAAAGCGAAGAGUUAAUCUUCGAUAUAGUCCCGUUUCGCAGUGGCUAUCACGCCCUGCUCGGGCGAACCGCAUUUGCAAAGUUCAAUGCGGUGCCACACUACACAUAUCUCAAGCUAAAUAUGAUAUGCCCUCGAGGAGUAAUUACGGUCAACGGAAACACCGAAUGUUCCCUCCGUACGGAGGAGCACACGGCGGCUCUCGCAGUGGAAGUACAAAGUAGCCUUCUUAGGCAAUUCUCUGGUCUGGCCGUUAAAAAGCCAGACACUGCCAAGCGCGCCCGGAGUAACCUACAACAAGACCGCCUGGCAUGUACUGAGCAGGCGUAGCAAUGCGGCCCCAACCCCAGCCCUCGCGACAUAGCGAAACCAGUGCCUCGCGUACAUAACUACGCUCUUGAAAUACCAUGGGCGCAGGGGAAGGGGCACAAUAACGGCAAGCCCAAAAUACGGCUUAAAACGUACUAGGGGCUGCCGAAUUCUUUUUUUUAAUUUUCUCUUACUUUCAGGACUCCAUACUUCGGACGACCUGUUCGGCAUUCAACUGCCGCACAAAGGAUGCAAGACCCAAGGAAGCAGACAAACCAUGCCGCAUUAUGGAACUCCCAGGUGGUCUCUGUUAUGAGCAGUAUACAUGUUUUGGCAUACAAUUCCGCGGCCUGCCCCUAGCCAGGACAUGUUAAAUAGUCCAAUACCUUUUGCUUAUCGCACUACUUGUAUAAUUUGGCUUUGAUAGCAGCCUUUCUAUAAACAAUGCAUAGCUUUUUGUCUAUUUUUUGCAUUAUCCUCUUUUCAUAUAUAUGUUUAUUAAAUAACAUGUUGCACCCGUACACCAUGGUACGGCAAACACGCCAGGGGCUUCAGUACCCCUCAAUAUGGUGUGAGAAGCCCGUACACUUCCACAAGUGCGGCACCCCAAACUUAUAGCACUAUAUGCAUCGGCUCCGAAUCAUGAUUUGGGUCAAUAGUUGGGUUUGCCCGGCUCCUAUGUUUUGGUGCCUUACGCUCCGCUAUAUCGGCUAAGGUAGCACUAGGAGAACCACUGCGAUUGUGCCCCGGUUGAGCUGGGUUAAGCACCUCAGUGGAGAAAGCUAAAACUGACUGUCAUGAUGGGGCGAGAGACUGGUUGCUGUUCGAGAGGUUUUUCGAGUCCCUAAAGACUUAUGCCGCUUCGAGCGAGGAGCCGGCUUUGUCCGGCCAAGGCGUGGAUAGCGCCCUGAACUCGGUCUUCCGAACUAGGGGCUUCGUCGAAAAUUAAAAUUAUAGAGUUCUAUGGCUAAGUGAGAGUGUUCAAGCAUUAUAGUCCGGUUGCCUGGUUCGUUGUGCUGAGCGCCUCCCUCGAAGGACCCAACUAUGGGAAAAAGAGCGCUCGGGUUUAUCCCGAACACCCCGGCACUAGUGGCACGGGGGCAGAAGCCGACGACUGGCCAUCUCUCAAUUUUUUGAUAAACGGCCGCAUAGAAAGUGAUAUUUUAAAUUCAACAAGCAUUGCUUAGCGCAUAUGAACAAGUUUUCAGCGCACAGGAUAAACACGAGCGAGUUCAUUCAAAAAUUACAUCCUUGGUACAUUCAUCCGCCACAAGGCAGGCACCCGCAAGAACAUCCUUAUAGUAAUUCUCGGGCUUGCGAUGCUCCUUCCCCGGCGGUGGCCCGUCCCUCACAAGCUUCUCACCGUCCAGCUUACCCCAGUGCACCUUUGCACGGGCAAGGGCCCUACGGGCACCUUCGAUGCAGACGGAGCGCUUGAUGACAUCGAGCCUUGGACAGGCCUCCACCAGCCGCCGCACCAGCUCAAAUUAGCUCCCAGGCAGGGCCUCUCCGGGCCCCAGCCGAACUAUGAAGCCCUUCAUGGCCUGUUCGGCCGCCUUGUGGAGCUCGACCAGCUGUUUCAGCUGGUCGCUCAAGGGCACAGGGUGUCCGGCCUCAGCAUACUGAGACCAGAACACCUUCUCUGUCGAGCUGCCCUCCUCAGCUCGGUAGAAUGCGGCAGCGGCGGAUACGCUGCAGGGAAGAUCUGCGAAUGCCCCUGGAGUGCUCCGGAUUCGGGUAAGUAACAAGUAGUUUACUUUUAUAUUUCUGCUUUGCAUAAAGAAUGCCUUACCCGCUGCUAUCUUUUUCAUCUCCUCCAACUCUUGGAGGGCCUUUUGGGCUUCGGCCUUGGCAGACUUGGCAGUCUCAAGGGCCGCCGCGAGCUCGGACGCUUGCGUCUUUGACUCAAGCUCCAAACUCUCAUGUUUUUUCAUGAGAGCCUGAAGCUCUUGCUGCACCUCGCCGACCUGGGCCUCAAAUUUCUCUCGCUCGGUGCGCUCCGCGGCCGCUUUCUUUUUGGCCUCGGACAACACCUGCUUGAGGGUCGCCACCUCAGUCGUGGCCCCUACAAUAAGCAGUACAAUCCUGUUAUUUUUUGCAAUCACUUCUUUCUAUAGGCACUUUUUCUGUAAGGUAUUUCUUACCUUCUUUCUCCUCGAGCUGCCGCUUGGCAAGGCCGAGCUCUUGCUCGGCCCGCUCGAGUCCCUGUUUAAGGGCACCCACCUCCGCAAUCAGGGCGGCGGUGGCUAGCAGCGAAGCCUGCAUACGCAUAUUGACUCUUUGCUGUUAGACUCCUGCGAAAUUUAAUAGAUCCUCUAUGCGGCUUUUCUUUCCGAAUGCCAAACAGAGCAUCAGGGGCUACUGUCUAUGCGGUUAUAUUCUUACAUAGUUUUUACUUACCUUGAAGCCUUUUAGAAGGCUAGCGCAAGCUUCGUUCAGUCCGCUCUUGGCAGACUGAACCUUCUGGAUCACCGUACUCAUAAUAGUAUGGUGCUCCUCGUCGAUGGAGGCACCGUCAAGCACGUCCAGCAGGUUGUCCAGCACCUCCGGUUGGACGGAGGCCGCCGGCUCAGAAGGCUUGCUCCUCUUGGAAGGAGUUCGCCUACCGCGGUCCGGAACUAUUGAAGAUUCUGGCGCGGUGUCCGGCUCAAAGCCAGACUUGGAGCCCUGGGGGGUCUUGUCCCCUUUACUCCUGGGGUCUGGGAGGUCGCCUUGCGGCUCCUCCAGGACCACCUCCUCCUGCCCCGGAGCUCGUUGCGACGCCACUUCGGCACCGUCCGCAGCACGGGGGGAGACAGCGGGCGGAACUAAGUUCACAUCCGAUGAGUCCAGGGAACCGCUCGACGACUCGUUGAGUUCGGCCCGGGGCGGCCUGCAUAAUUAUGUUCGACGUUAGGGAAAGCUGUGCAACAAAGGAACGUCAUGAGUUACUCUGAUAUCCGAAUACUUACGAUUUCGCUGGACGCUUGGCCCUAUCUGGCCAAUCCUCUUCGCCCUCUUCGGCGUCGGGGGAGUAGUUCGGCGGAGGGGUCUUCCUCUUCCUGGACCCUUCGGCCUCCCCCGUUGGGGCGACCUUCCUUUUCUUUCCUCCCCCCGCUGGAGUGGGAGAGUUUUCUUCUUCCUCCUCCUCGUUCUCCCCCCGCAGGCGCAGUCGCACUUUCAAGUCCCCGUGGCCUUCUUCUCCGGCACCACAUAAGGUGCCGGAACCAGCAGCUUCACUAGGAGAGCAGGAGCUGGGUCUUCGGGCAAGGGAGCCGGACAGUUAAUCGAUCCGGACUGCGCCUGCCAAGCCUGUCAAAGGUGAGGGAGUUUAGAUCCCGCAUAGAGUCAAACUAUGAAAUAACUUACCAUCCUGUAAGAGGAGAAAAUAGCUUACCUCGCUAGCGUGACGCUGCGAGCUGUAUCCGCGGUCCUCGGAAGCGGAUGUGGGAGCCUUGGCGCCUUUGGUUAGCACCUUCCAGUCAUCUUCAUACGUCGUGUCGAAGAGCCUGUUAAGGGUUUGGUGCCGCGCCGAGUCGAACUCCCACAGAUUGAAGUCCCGUUGUUGACACGGGAGGAUCCGGCGGACGAGCAUAACCUGGACUACAUUGACAAGCUUGAUUGGCUUGCUCACCAGGGACUGGAUGCAUGUCUGCAGUCCGGUCACCUCUUUUUCUUCGCCCCACGACAGGCCCGUCUCUUUCCAGGACAUAAGCCGCGUGGGGGGUCAGGAUAGGAACUCGGGGGCGGCGAUCCAUUUCGGAUCGCGCAGCUCGGUGAUGUAAAACCACCACAAUUGCCACCCCUUCAGGGUCUCCAUGAAGGAGCCCUCGAGCCAUAGGACGUUGGCCAUCUUGCCCGCCAUGGUGCCUACGCACUCCGCCUGGCUGCCGCGCACCACCUUGGGCUUGAAGUUGAAGGUCUUGAGCCAGAGGACGAAAUGGGGGUGGAUGCAGAGGAAAGCCUCGCACACGACGAUAAACGUCGAGAUGUUGAGGACGAAGUUCGGGGCCAGAUCGUGGAAAUCCAGGCCGUAGUAGAACAUGAGCCCCCGGACAAAUGGGUGGAGUGGAAAACCCAGUCCGUGGAGGAAGUGGGGAAGGAAUACUACCCUCUCAUGGGGCCAUGGGGUGGGGAGAAUCUGCCCUGCCUCGGGAAGCCGGUGCACGAUGUCCUUGGACAAGUAUCCGGCCUUCCUUAGCUUCUUAACAUGGCCCUCCGUGACAGAGGAGACCAUCCACUUGCCUCCCUCUCCGGACAUGGCUGGAGAAGGUUGAGGUGGGAAGUGCGGGCUUGGGUGCUGGAGCUCGAGCACGCAGGAGAUGGGUAGGUAAAGGAGGAAGAAGGCGUAGGUAAAAAGGUGGAUCCUUAUCCCCUUAUAUGGGCGGAUGCGGUUGUGCGUCCCCACCAGCCUAGUAAAACUUGCUUGCCUCCCAAGCGCCGUGAUAAAUGGCACGGUUGGGUUACCCACGUCCGUAUUGAUGAGAAUCCCGUAAAAGGGGGCACACGAUCUCUGCUUUGACAAGACGUGCCAAGGAAACCGCCUCGCAAAACGUGAUGAGGCGGAAAAGUGAAAACGAUUCAAGUAAAGGACUUGGCCGUAGUGUGAUGUCACGCCGCGGAAUGCGUCAGCAGAUUAGAUUUGUGUUAAUAUUAUUCUCUCUAUGAAGAACUUGGAGGAGGAACCCGCCUUGCAAUGCCGAAGACAAUCUGCGCGCCGGACUCGUCGUCAUUGAAGCCUGGUUCAGGGGCUACUGAGGGAGUCCUGGAUUAGGGGGUGUUCGAGUAACCAGACUAUACCUUCUGCCGGACUCCAGGACUAUAAAGAUACAAGAUUGAAGACUUCGUCCCGUGUCCGGAUGGGACUUUCCUUGGCGUGGAAGGCAAGCUUGGCGAUGUGGAUAUUCAAGAUCUCCUACCAUUGUAACCGACUCUGUGUAACCCUAACCCUAUCCGGUGUCUAUAUAAACCGAAGGGUUCUAGUCCAUAGGACAACUCCAUCAUACAACAAUCAUACCAUAGGCUAGCUUCUAGGGUUUAGCCUCCUUGAUCUCGUGGUAGAUCUACUCUUGUACUACCCAUAUCAUCAAUAUUAAUCAAGAAGGAGUAGGGUUUUACCUCCAUCGAGAGGGCCCGAACCUGGGUAAAAACAUCGUGUCCCUUGUCUCCUGUUACCAUCCGCCUAGACGCACAGUUCGGGACCCCCUAUCCGAGAUCCGCCGGUUUUGACACCGACAUGCACUCUUGGGCUUAGAGGCAGCUUUGGGUGCUUCUUUGGUCUUAGAUGAAGUAUCCCCUGUUCUUAUGGCAUCACCCAUAAGCUUCUGUGCCUUGGGUGCUGGUGCAGCAAUCUCUUCCUCUUCUUCUCCCUCAGAGUCUCUCCUCAUGGAGGGUGUGCCAAGAACUCUGGCAGUGGUAGUUCUGACUCUCUUCUUCUUCUUCUUAUCUUGGCCACUUGCUUCCUCUUCAGAUUCCGUGGUAAGCUUCAUGGUUUCUUCAGUUACAGCCUUCCUAGGCUUAGAAGUGGGAACUCUCCUUGCAGGUGCCUUUUUGUGCAUUCCAGGCUUUAUGGCUGCAGCUGACCCAUACUCUUUCUUGAGCACAUUCUUCUUAGAUGUGGCUUCCUCUUCUGCCACAUAAUCCUCAUCCUCUGAUUCAGAAGUUCUCUUCUUGCUAGCUCUAGUGGCAGCAUUAGGCAAGUUGCUUGUGGUGCUCCUGCUACCCUCAUCAGAGCUGCUUGAGGGACUAGUACCCUCACUCAUAUGAACCUGCUCCUCAGAUUUGUUCUGGCUAUCACUCUGAUUAGACAUCAUGCAUACUCUGACUGCUGACCCUGUGAAUAGAUUAUAGAUGAGAUAGAGUGGAUGAACAUCACAAAAUGCAGAGAUUUUUGCAAAAGAAUGAGUCAAAAACUUAGUUUUAGUUUUCCACAGAAACCAUUUUGGAUCAACCGAUUUGCAAACUCGGUGAUACCGAAGCAGCUUUUAGAACCAAAACUAGUGAACUCGGUCAGACCGAGUCACAGUUCGGUGGCACCGAGAUGAAGGAAAUAUGCCCUAGAGGCAAUAAUAAAGUUAUUAUUUAUUUCCUUAUAUCAUGAUAAAUGUUUAUUAUUCAUGCUAGAAUUGUAUUAACCGGAAAAAUAAUACUUGUGUGAAUACAUAGACAAACAAAGUGUCACUAGUAUGCCUCUACUUGACUAGCUCGUUAAUCGAAGAUGGUUAUGUUUCCUAACCAUAAACAAAAGAGUUGUUAUUUGAUUAACGGGAUCACAUCAUUAGGAGAAUGAUGUGAUUGACAUGACACAUUCCAUUAGCUUAGCACCCGAUCGUUUAGUAUGUUGCUAUUGCUUUCUUCAUGACUUAUACAUGUUCCUAUGACUAUGAGAUUAUGCAACUCCCGUUUGCCGGAGGAACACUUUGUGUGCUACCAAACGUCACAACGUAACUGGGUGAUUAUAAAGGAGCUCUAUAGGUGUCUCCAAAGGUACAUGUUGGGUUGGCGUAUUUCGAGAUUAGGAUUUGUCACUCCGAUUGUCGGAGAGGUAUCUCUGGGCCCUCUCGGUAAUGCACAUCACAUAAGCCUUGCAAGCAUUGCAACUAAUGAGUUAGUUGUGAGAUGAUGUAUUACGGAACGAGUAAAGAGACUUGCCGGUAACGAGAUUGACCUAGGUAUUGAGAUACCGACGACCGAAUCUCGGGCAAGUAACAUACCGAUGCCAAAGGGAACAACGUAUGUUGUUAUGCGGUCUGACCGAUAAAGAUCUUCGUAGAAUAUGUAGGAACCAAUAUGAGCAUCCAGGUUCUGCUAUUGGUUAUUAACCGGAGACGUGUCUCGGUCAUGUCUACAUUGUUCUCGAACCCAUAGGGUCCGCACGCUUAAGGUUUCGAUGACAGUUAUAUUAUGAGUUUAUGAGUUUUGAUGUACCGAAGUUAGUUCGGAGUCCCGGAUGUGAUCACGAACAUGACAAGGAGUCUCGAAAUGGUUGAGACAUAAAGAUUGAUAUAUUGGACGGCUAUAUUCGGACACCGGAAGUGUUCCGGGGAAGUUUCGGAUAAAACCGGAGCACCGGGGGGUUACCGGAACCCCUGGGGGGUUAAUGGGCCUCAUGGGCCUAGAGUGGAGAAGAGGAGGGGCUGCCAGGGCAGGCCGCGCGCCCCCUCUCCCCCUAGUCCGAAUUGGACAAGGAGGGAGGGGCGGCGCCCCCUCUCCUCUCUCCCCUCCUUCCCCCUCUCCUAAUUGGACAAGGAAAGGGAGGGGAGUCCUACUCCCGGUAGGAGUAGGACUCCUCCUGCGCGCCUCCUACUAGGGCCGGCCGCACCCCCCCUUUGGAUCCUUUAUAUACAGAGGCAAGAGGCACCCCAUAGACAAGUUUAUCCACGUGAUCAUAUUCUUAGCCGUGUGCGGUGCCCCCUUCCACCAUAGUCCUCGAUAAUAUUGUAGCGGUGCUUAGGCGAAGCCCUGCGACGGCAGUACAUCAAGAUCAUCACCACGCCGUCGUGCUGACGGAACUCUUCCCCGACACUUUGCUGGAUCGGAGUCCGAGGAUCAUCAUCGAGCUGAACGUGUGCUAGAACUCGAAGGUGCCGUAGUUUCGGUGCUUGAUCGGUCGGGCCGUGGAGACGUACGACUACAUCAACCAAAUGCUUCCGUUGUGGAUCUACAAGGGUACGUAGAUCACACUCUCCCCCUCUCGUUGCUAUGCAUCACCAUGAUCUUGCGUGUGUGUAGGAAUUUUUUUGAAAUUACUACGUUCCCCAACAGUGGCAUCCGAGCCUAGGUUUUAUAUGUUGAUGUUAUAUGCACGAAUACAACACAAGUGAGUUGUGGGCGAUAUAAGUCAUAAUGCUUACCAGCAUGUCAUACUUUGGUUCGGCGGUAUUGUUGGACGAAGUGGCCCGGACCGACAUUACGCGUAUGCUUACGCGAGACCGGUUCUCCCGACGUGCUUUGCACAUAGGUGGCUUGCGGGUGAUAGUUUCUCCAACUUUAGUUGAACCGAGUGUGGCUACGCCCGGUCCUUGCGAAGGUUAAAACAGCACCAACUUGACAAACUAUCGUUGUGGUUUUGAUGCGUAGGUAAGAUUGGUUCUUGCUUAAGCCCGUAGCAGCCACGUAAAACUUGCAACAACAAAGUAGAGGACGUCUAACUUGUUUUUGAAGGGCAUGUUGUGAUGUGAUAUGGUCAAGACAUGAUGCUGAAUUUUAUUGUAUGAGAUGAUCAUGUUUUGUAACCAAGUUAUCGGCAACUGGCAGUAGCCAUAUGGUUGUCGCUUUAUUGUAUGCAAUGCAAUUGCACUGUAAUGCUUUACUUUAUAACUAAACGGUAGCGAUAGUCGUGGAAGCAUAAAAUUGGCGAGAUGACAACGAUGCUACGAUAGGUGAUCAAGGUGUCGCGCCGGUGACGAUGGUGAUCACGACGGUGCUUCGAAGAUGGAGAUCACAAGCACAAGAUGAUGAUGGCCAUAUCAUAUCACUUAUAUUGAUUGCAUGUGAUGUUUAUCUUUUAUGCAUCUUAUCUUGCUUUGUUUGACGGUAGCAUUAUAAGAUGAUCUCUCACUAAUUAUCAAGAAGUGUUCUCCCUGAGUAUGCACCAUUGCGAAAGUUCUUCGUGCUGAGACACCACGUGAUGAUCGGGUGUGAUAGGCUCUACGUUCAAAUACAACGGGUGCAAAACAGUUGCACACGCGGAUACUCAGGUUAUACUUGACGAGCCAAGCAUAUACAGAUAUGGCCUCGGAACACGGAGACCGAAAGGUCGAGCGUGAAUCAUAUAGUAGAUAUGAUCAACAUAGUGAUGUUCACCAAUGAAACUACUCCAUCUCACGUGAUGAUCGGACAUGGUUUAGUUGAUUUGGAUCAUGUGAUCACUUAGAGGAUUAGAGGGAUGUCUAUCUAAGUGGGAGUUCUUAAGUAAUAUGAUUAAUUGAACUUAAAUUUAUCAUGAACUUAGUCCUGGUAGUAUUUUGCAAAUUAUGUUGUAGAUCAAUAGCUCGCGUUGUUGCUUCCCUGUGUUUAUUUUGAUAUGUUCCUAGAGAAAAUUGUGUUGAAAGAUGUUAGUAGCAAUGAUGCAGAUUGGAUCCGUGAUCUGAGGUUUAUCCUCAUUGCUGCACAGAAGAAUUUUGUCCUUGAUGCACCGCUAGGUGACGGACCUAUUGCAGGAGCAGAUGCAUGCGUUAUGAAUGUUUGGCUAGCUCAAUAUGAUGACUACUUGAUAGUUUAGUGCACCUUGCUUAAUGGCUUAGAAUCGGGACUUCAAAGACGUUUUGAACGUCAUGGAGCAUAUGAGAUGUUCCAGGAGUUGAAGUUAAUAUUUCAAGCAAAUACCCGAGUUGAGAGAUAUGAAGUCUCCAACAAGUUCUAUAGCCAAAAGAUGGAGGAGAAUCGCUCAACGAGUGAGCAUGUGCUCAGAUUGUCUGGGUACUACAAUCGCUUGAAUCAAGUGGGAGUUAAUCUUCCAGAUAAGAUAGUGAUUGACAGAAUUCUCUAGUCACCAUCACCAAGUUAGUAGAACUUCGUGAUGAACUAUAGUAUGCAAGGGAUGACGAAAACGACUCCCGAGCUUUUCAUAAUGAUGAAAUUGAUGAAGGUAGAAAUCAAGAAAGAGCAUCAAGUGUUGAUGGUAGUCAAGACCACUAGUUUCAAUAAAAGGGCAAAGGGAAGAAGGGGAACUUCAAGAAGAACAACAAGCAAGUUGCUGCUCAAGUGAAGAAGCCCAAGUCUAGUCCUAAGCCUGAGACUAAGUGCUUCUACUGCAAAGGGACUGGUCACUGGAAGCGGAACUGCCCCAUGUAUUUGGCGGAUAAGAAGGAUGGCAAAGUGAACAAAGGUAUAUUUGAUAUACAAAUUAUUAAUGUGUAUUUUACUAGUGUUCGUAGCAACCCCUCGGUAUUUGAUACUGGUUCAGUUGCUAAGAGUAGUAACUCGAAACGGGAGUUGUAGAAUGAACAAAAACUAGUUAAGGGUGAAGUGACGAUGUGUGUUGGAAGUAGUUCCAAGAUUGAUAUGAUCAUCAUCGCACACUCUCUAUACUUUCGGGAUUAGUGUUGAACCUACAUAUGUGUUAUUUGGUGUUUGCAUUGAGCAUGAAUAUGAUUUGAUCAUGUUUAUUGCAAUACGGUUAUUCAUUUAAGUUAGAGAAUAAUUGUUGUUCUGUUUACAUGAAUAAAACCUUAUAUGGUUACACACCCAAUGAAAAUAGUUCGUUGGAUCUCGAUCGUAGUGAUACACAUAAUCAUAAUAUUGAAACCAAAAGAUGCAAAGUUAAUAAUGGUAGUGCAACUUAUUUGUGGCACUGCCGUUUAGGUCAUAUUGGUGUAAAGCGCAUGAAGAAACUCCAUGCUGAUGGGAUUUUGGAAUCACUUGAUUAUGAAUCACUUGAUGCUUGCGAACCAUGCCUUAUGGGCAAGAUGACUAAGACUCCGUUCUCCGGAACAAUGGAGCGAGCAACUGACUUAUUGGAAAUAAUACAUACUGAUGUAUGUGAUCCGAUGAGUGUUGAGGCUCACGGCGGGUCUCGUUAUUUUCUGACCUUCACAGAUGAUUUGAGUAGAUAUGGGUAUAUCUACUUGAUGAAACACAAGUCUGAAACAUUUGAAAAGUUCAAAGAAUUUCAGAGUGAAGUGGAGAAUCAUCGUAACAAAAAUAAAAAGUUUCUACAAUAUGAUCGCAGAAGUAAAAUAUUUGAGUUACGAGUUUGGCCUUCAGUUAAAAACAAUGUGAAAUAGUUUCACUACUCACGCCACCUGGAACACCACAGCAUAAUGGUGUGUCCGAACGUCAUAACCGUACUUUAUUAGAUAUGGUGCAAACUAUGAUGUCUCUUACCAAUCUACCACUAUCGUUUUGGGAUUAUGCAUUAGAGACAGCUGCAUUCACAUUAAAUAGGGCACCAUCUAAAUCCGUUGAAACGACACCGUAUGAACUAUGGUUUGGCAAGAAACCUAAGCUGUCGUUUCUUAAAGUUUGAGGUUGCAUUGCUUAUGUGAAAAAGUUUCAACCUGAUAAGCUCAAACCCAAAUCGGAGAAGUAUGUCUUCAUAGGAUACCCAAAGGAGACUGUUGGGUACACCUUCUAUCACAAAUUCGAAGGCAAGACUUUUGUUGCUAAAUUCAGAGUUUUUCUAGAGAAGGAGUUUCUCUCGAAAGAAGUGAGUGGGAGGAAAGUAGAACUUGAUGAGGUAACUGUACCUGCUCCCUUAUUGGAAAGUAGUUCAUUACAGAAAUCUGUUCUUGUGACUACUACACCAAUUAGUGAGGAAGCUAAUGAUGAUGAUCAUGUAACUUCAGAUCAAGUUAUUACCGAAUCUCGUAGGUAAACCAGAGUGAGAUCCGCACCAGAGUGGUACGGAAAUCCUGUUCUGGAAGUCAUGUUACUAGACCAUGACGAAUUUGCAAACUAUGAGGAAGCAAUGAUGAGCCCAGAUUCCGCGAAAUGGUUUGAGGCCAUAAAAUCUGAGAUAUGAUCCAUGUAUGAGAACAAAGUAUGGACUUUGAUGGAUUUGCCCGAUGAUCGGCAAGCCAUAGAAAAUAAAUGGAUCUUCAAGAGGAAGACGGACGCUGAUAGUAGUGUUACUAUCUACAAAGCUAGAAUUGUCGAAAAAGGUUUUUGACAAGUUCAAGGUGUUGACUACGAUGAGAUUUUCUCACUCGUAUAUAUGCUUAAGUCUGUCCGAAUCAUGUUAGCAAUUGCCGCAUUUUAUGAAAUCUGGCAAAUGGAUAAACAAAACUGCAUUCCUUAAUGGAUUUCUUAAAGAAGAGUUGUAUAUGAUGCAACCAGAAGGUUUUGUCAAUCCUAAAGGUGUUAACAAAAUAUGCAAGCUCCAACGAUCCAUCUAUGGACUAGUGCAAGCAUCUCGGAGUUGGAAUAUACGCUUUGAUAAGUUGAUUAAAGCAUAUAGUUUUAUACAGACUUACGGUGAAGCCUGUAUUUACAAGAAAGUGAGUGGGAGCACUACAACAUUUCUGAUAAGUAUAUGUGAACAACAUAUUGUUGAUCGGAAAUAAUGUAUAAUUUUAUGGAAAGCAUAAAGGAAUAUUUGAAAGGAGUUUUUCAAAGAAAGACCUCGGUAAAGCUGCUUACAUAUUGAGUAUCAAGAUCUAUAGAGAUAGGUUAAGACGCUUGAUAAGUUUUUUCAAUGAGUACAUACCUUGACAAGAUUUUGAAGUAGUUCAAAAUGGAACAGUCAAAGAAAGAGUUCUUGCCUGUGUUGCAAGGUGUGAAAUUGAGUAAGACUCAAAGCCCGACCACGGCAGAAGAUAGAAAUAGAAUGAAAUUCAUUCCCUAUGCCUCAGCCAUAGGUUCUAUAAAGUAUGCCAUGCUGUGUACCAGAUCUAUUGUAUACCCUACACUGUGUUAAGCAAGGGAGUACAAUAGUGAUCUAAGAGUAGAUCACUGGACAGAGGUCAAAAUUAUCCUUAGUGGAAUAAGGAAAUAUUUCUCAAUUAUGGAGGUGACAAAAAAGUUCGUCGUAAAAAGUUACGUCGAUGCAAGGUUUGACACAGAUUUGGAUGACUCUAAGUCUCGAUCCAGAUACAUAUUGAAAGUGGGAGAAAUAGGCUAGAGUAGCUCCGUGCAGAGCAUUGUUGACAUAGAAAUUCACAAAAUACUUACGGAUCUGAAUAUGACAGACCCGUUGACUAAAAUUAUCUCACAAGCAAAACAUGAUCACACCUUAGUACUCUUUGGGUGUUAAUCACAUAGCGAUGUGAACUAGAUUACUGACUCUAGUAAACCCUUUGGGUGUUGAUCACAUAUCGAUGUGAACUAUGGGUGUUAAUCACAUGGUGAUGUGAACUAUUGCUAUUAAAUCACAUGGCGAUGUGAACUAGAUUAUUGACUCUAGUGCAAGUGGGAGAUUGAAGGAAAUAUGCCCUAGAGGCAAUAAUAAAGUUAUUAUUUAUUUCCUUAUAUCAUGAUAAAUGUUUAUUAUAAAUGCUAGAAUUGUAUUAACCGGAAACAUAAUACUUGUGUGAAUACAUAGACAAACAAAAUGUCACUAGUAUGCCUCUACUUGACUAGCUCGUUAAUCAAAGAUGGUUAUCUUUCCUAAUCAUAAACAAAAGAGUUGUUAUUUGAUUAACGGGAUCACAUGAUUAGGAGAAUGAUGUGAUUGACAUGACCCAAUCCAUUAGCGUAGCACCCGAUCGUUUAGUAUGUUGCUAUUGCUUUCUUCAUGACUUAUACAUGUUCCUAUGACUAUGAGAUUAUGCAACUCCCGUUUGCCGGAGGAACACUUUGUGUGCUACCAAACGUCACAACGUAACUGGGUGAUUAUAAAGGAGCUCUACAGGUGUCUCCAAAGGUACAUGUUGGCUUGGCGUAUUUCGAGAUUAGGAUUUGUCACUCUGAUUGUCGGAGAGGUAUCUCUGGGCCCUCUCGGUAAUGCACAUCACAUAAGCCUUGCAAGCAUUGCAACUAAUGAGUUAGUUGUGAGAUGAUGUAUUACGGAACGAGUAAAGAGACUUGUCGGUAAUGAGAUUGAACUAGGUAUUGAGAUACCGACGAUCGAAUCUCGGGCAAGUAACAUACCGAUGACAAAGGGAACAACGUAUGUUGUUAUGCGGUCUGACCGAUAAAGAUCUUCGUAGAAUAUGUAGGAACCAAUAUGAGCAUCCAGGUUCCGCUAUUGGUUAUUGACCGGAGACGUGUCUCGGUCAUGUCUACAUUGUUCUCGAACCCGCAGGGUCCGCAUGCUUAAGGUUUCGAUGACAGUUAUAUUAUGAGUUUAUGAGUUUUGAUGUACCGAAGUUAGUUCGGAGUCCCGGAUGUGAUCACGGACAUGACGAGGAGUCUCGAAAUGGUCGAGACAUAAGGAUUGAUAUAUUGGAUGGCUAUAUUCGGACACCGGAAGUGUUCCGGGGAAGUUUCGGAUAAAACCGGAGCACCGGGGGGUUACCGGAACCCCCCAGGGGGUUAAUGGGCCUCAUGGGCCUAGAGUGGAGAAGAGGAGGGGCUGCCAGGGAAUGCCGCGCGCCCCCUCUCCCCCUAGUCCAAAUUGGACAAGGAGGGAGGGGCGGCGCCCCCUCUCCUCUCUCCCUUCCUUCCCCCUCUCCUAAUUGGACAAGGAAAGGGAGGGGAGUCCUACUCCCGGUAGGAGUAGGACUCCUCCUGCGCGCCUCCUACUAGGGCCGGCCACACCCCCCCUUUGGAUCCUUUAUAUAUGGAGGCAAGAGGCACCCCAUAGACAAGUUGAUCAACGUGAUCAUAUUCUUAGCCGUGUGCGGUGCCCCCUUCCACCAUAGUCCUCGAUAAUAUUGUAGCGGUGCUUAGGCGAAGCCCUGCGACGGUAGUACAUCAAGAUCGUCACCACGCCAUCGUGCUGAUGGAACUCUUCCCCGACACUUUGCUGGAUCGGAGUCCGGGGAUUGUCAUCGAGCUGAACGUGUGCUAGAACUCGGAGGUGCCGUAGUUUCGGUGCUUGAUCGGUCGGGCCGUGGAGACGUACGACUACAUCAACCAAACGCUUCCAUUGUCGAUCUACAAGGGUACGUAGAUCACACUCUCCCCCUCUUGUUGCUAUGCAUCACCAUGAUCUUGCGUGUGCGUAGGAAUUUUUUUGAAAUUACUACGUUCCCCAACACGAGACUGCUAGGGUUUCACAAAGUCCUGAACUCGGUCUCGCCGAUUCGUAAUUCUCGGUCAGACCGACAACCACAUGUGCAAUGGCAGUGGCCGAAUCGGUGGAACCAACUUCCACUACCCGGUGGGUCUGAGAUGGUUUCGGCGGAAACCUAAACCUAAAUUUUCGAAUCGCAACUAUUCUACAGAUUGAUUUGACUGGAUAGGAGUGUUUCAAUAGUAGCAAGGAUCACAAUGAACACAAUGUUCUAGGAAUCAUACGGGGAUAGCACUGUGAUCGAGUCCAUACCCUAGUUCGGCGGUGGACUCGCUACGGCGGCAACGGCAGAGGCGAAAUCCGUUGACGGCGGCGGAGACCAGCGACAGGAGGCGGCUGGCGACGAGGAGGACGAUCCAGAGACCCAGGAGGCAGAGCGAGCUAUGCGCAGGCGAAGAGGUUUCAGAGAAAUUUCCAAAAUUUUGCCUGUGAGUAUAUAUAGCCCGACCCUGUCGGUGUGACCGAGUGGAACAACUCGGUGGCACCGAGAUGCAUAACUAUUGACAGUUACAGCAACUCAGUGUGACCGAAAAGUUCAAAACGGUUGCACCGAGGUGAAAACCUAGAUCGACUUAGUGAUCUCGGUAUGACCGAAAUGGAGGAAUCGGUCAGACCGAAAAGCACAAAGAAGUUUUGGAAGUUUAAGUCUAUGACAAAUCGGGGACUCCGAGUGCUCCUCACACAGAGUGGUUUGAAUCUGACUUGAUCAAAUUUUGUGAUGUAGCAUGAAUAGAG
This 26149-nucleotide long non-coding RNA is filed under the name Triticum aestivum (bread wheat). RNAcentral's name for it is "long non-coding RNA (TAES_LNC005672)". The record is from RNAcentral. Lineage: Eukaryota; Viridiplantae; Streptophyta; Magnoliopsida; Poales; Poaceae.